Molecule: long non-coding RNA, 412 nt
Organism: Solea senegalensis (Senegalese sole)
Lineage: Eukaryota; Metazoa; Chordata; Actinopteri; Pleuronectiformes; Soleidae
Exons: 2
Source: RefSeq, a predicted model, not a curated record
UCACUUUCAGUUGCUAGUGUGUCUCAUGUAUGUUGUCCGCGGUCGUGCCACGCCUCCUCUAGAUCCUUGAAGUUAUAGGUAAAAAACAUUGGUGCUCAGGCUUAUGGAAGUGGAUCGAUGCUCCCACUGUUUUCUGUUUGGACGAAUUCUUGGGGCAAUUAGCAGUCAAGUCUCGGGCAGCGUGAGGAGAAUGGCUCACUGAGGAUAAUGACAGAUUUCUUCAUCCUCUCAGCAAACAGGCCGUGACCCCCUGCCUGCCAGCGAGCCUCCUCUCUGAGCUCCACCUGUGUGUCAGCCAGGAUUCAUCAAACAUCACCACAACAAGUGCUUUAAUAUCAGUAAAUACAGGUUUUCUCAGAAGUAUCGAUUGUUCUGUUGAAUACGUGUUGAAAAAAAGGGGGAUUUAUGGAAA